RNAcentral lists this ribosomal RNA (442 nucleotides) under uncultured bacterium. Its description in RNAcentral is "partial 16S ribosomal RNA". It matches the Rfam family "Bacterial small subunit ribosomal RNA", at positions 338 to 795 of the family's 1533-position model. The record is from RNAcentral.
CCUACGGGAGGCUGCAGUGGGGAAUAUUGGGCAAUGGGCACAAGCCUGACCCAGCAACGCCGCGUGAAGGAAGAAGGCUUUCGGGUUGUAAACUUCUUUUUAGAGGGAAGAGCAGAAGACGGUACCUCUUGAAUAAGCCACGGCUAACUACGUGCCAGCAGCCGCGGUAAUACGUAGGUGGCAAGCGUUGUCCGGAUUUACUGGGUGUAAAGGGCGUGUAUCCGGGCUGACAAGUCAGAUGUGAAAUUCCGGGGCUCAACCCCGGACCUGCCUUUGAAACUGUUGGUCUUGAGUAUCGGAGAGGCAGGCGGAAUGCCUAGUGUAGCGGUGAAAUGCGUAGAUAUUAGGAGGAACACCAGUGGCGAAGGCGGCCUGCUGGACGACAACUGACGGUGAGGCGCGAAAGCGUGGGGAGCAAACAGGAUUAGAUACCCUAGUAGUC